AGUGAACGCUGGCGGUAGGCCUAACACAUGCAAGUCGAACGGCAGCACAGUAAGAGCUUGCUCUUACAGGUGGCGAGUGGCGGACGGGUGAGGAAUACAUCGGAAUCUACUUUUUCGUGGGGGAUCACGUAGGUAAACUUACGCUAAUACCGCAUACGACCUACGGGUGAAAGCAGGGGAUCUUCGGACCUUGCGCGAUUGAAUGCGCCGAUGUCGGAUUAGCUAGUUGGCGGGGUAAAGGCCCACCAAGGCGACGAUCCGUAGCUGGUCUGAGAGGAUGAUCAGCGGCACUGGAACUGAGACACGGUCCAGACUCCUACGGGAGGCAGCAGUGGGGAAUAUUGGACAAUGGGCGCAAGCCUGAUCCAGCCAUACCGCGUGGGUGAAGAAGGCCUUCGGGUUGUAAAGCCCUUUUGUUGGGAAAGAAAAGCAGCAGGUUAAUACCCCGCUGUUCUGACGGUACCCAAAGAAUAAGCACCGGCUAACUUCGUG
This 492-nucleotide ribosomal RNA is filed under the name uncultured bacterium. Its description in RNAcentral is "partial 16S ribosomal RNA". It matches the Rfam family "Bacterial small subunit ribosomal RNA", at positions 29 to 507 of the family's 1533-position model. The record is from RNAcentral.